GNNNGUCCGGAGUAACANGUACAAGGGNCAGNACGGGGUAUUUCAUAGUCAGAGGUGAAAUUCUUGGAUUUAUGAAAGACGAACUUCUGCGAAAGCAUUUGCCAAGGAUGUUUUCAUCNAUCAAGAACGAAAGUUGGGGGCUCGAAGACGAUNAGAUACCGUCGUAGUCUCAACCAUAAACGAUGCCGACCAGGGAUC
RNAcentral lists this ribosomal RNA (198 nucleotides) under uncultured eukaryote. Its description in RNAcentral is "partial 18S ribosomal RNA". It matches the Rfam family "Eukaryotic small subunit ribosomal RNA", at positions 851 to 1054 of the family's 1831-position model. The record is from RNAcentral.